This 253-nucleotide ribosomal RNA is filed under the name uncultured bacterium. RNAcentral's name for it is "partial 16S ribosomal RNA". It matches the Rfam family "Bacterial small subunit ribosomal RNA", at positions 524 to 776 of the family's 1533-position model. The record is from RNAcentral.
UACGUAGGGUGCAAGCGUUGUCCGGAAUUAUUGGGCGUAAAGAGCUCGUAGGCGGUCUGUCACGUCGGCUGUGAAAUCCCGAGGCUCAACCUCGGGUCUGCAGUCGAUACGGGCAAACUAGAGUAUUGCAGGGGAGACUGGAAUUCCUGGUGUAGCGGUGAAAUGCGCAGAUAUCAGGAGGAACACCGGUGGCGAAGGCGGCUCUCUGGACCAUAACUGACGCUGAGACGCGAAAGCUAGGGGAGCAAACAGG